ACCUCCUCCCAAGGGACAAAAAGGGAAAAGAACGAUACAGAGAAGAUUAGCAUAACCCCUGCGCAAGGAUGACACGCUAAAUCGUGAGGCGUCCUAUAUUUUU
This 103-nucleotide small nuclear RNA is filed under the name Haemaphysalis longicornis (longhorned tick). The record is from RNAcentral. Lineage: Eukaryota; Metazoa; Arthropoda; Arachnida; Ixodida; Ixodidae.